UACGUAGGGUGCAAGCGUUGUCCGGAAUUAUUGGGCGUAAAGAGCUCGUAGGCGGUCUGUUGCGUCGGCUGUGAAAACCCGGGGCUCAACCCCGGGCCUGCAGCCGAUACGGGCAGACUAGAGUUCGGCAGGGGAGACUGGAAUUCCUGGUGUAGCGGUGAAAUGCGCAGAUAUCUGGAGGAACACCGGUGGCGAAGGCGGCAUCCUGGACCGACACUGACGCUGAGGAGCGAAAGCCAGGGGAGCAAACGGG
Molecule: ribosomal RNA, 253 nt
Filed under: uncultured bacterium
Lineage: Bacteria
Description: partial 16S ribosomal RNA
Rfam family: Bacterial small subunit ribosomal RNA
Source: RNAcentral